GAUGAACGCUGGCGGCGUGCCUAAUACAUGCAAGUCGAGCGAACAGACGCGGCGCUUGCUCCUCUGACGUUAGCCGCGGACGGGUGAGUCACGCGUGUAUAACCUACCUAUAAGACUGGUAUAAUCUCGGGAAACCGGCGCAAAUACGGGAUAAUAUAUUGAACCGCAUGGUUCAAUGGUGAAAGUCGGUUUUUCUGUCACUAAUAGCUGGUUCCGGGCUGGUUUAGCUAGUUGGUAGGGUAACGGCUUACCAAGGCGACGAUGCGUAGCCGACCUGAGAGGGUGAUCGGCGACACUGGAGCGGAGACACGGUCAAGACUCCUGCGGGAGGCAGCAGUAGGGAAUGUGACGCAAUGGGCGGAAGCUUGGCGGAGCGACGCCGAGUCAGUGAUGAAAGUGUUCGGAUCGUAAAACUCUGUUAUGAGGGAAGAACAAAUGUCGAAGUAGCUGUGCACGGAUUGACGGUAACUGAUCAGAAAGCACCGGCUAACUACGUG
This 497-nucleotide ribosomal RNA is filed under the name uncultured bacterium. RNAcentral describes it as "partial 16S ribosomal RNA". It matches the Rfam family "Bacterial small subunit ribosomal RNA", at positions 28 to 507 of the family's 1533-position model. The record is from RNAcentral.